Molecule: ribosomal RNA, 395 nt
Filed under: uncultured bacterium
Lineage: Bacteria
Description: bacterial SSU rRNA
Rfam family: Bacterial small subunit ribosomal RNA
Source: RNAcentral
GUGCCAGCAGCCGCGGUAACACGUAGGAGGCGAGCGUUAUCCGGAUUUACUGGGUGUAAAGCGCGUGUAGGCGGUUUGGAUAGUUGGAUGUGAAAGCUCCUGGCUUAACUGGGAGAGGUCGUUCAAUACUUCCAGACUAGAGUGUGAGAGAGGGAGGUGGAAUUCCGGGUGUAGUGGUGAAAUGCGUAGAUAUCCGGAGGAACACCAGUGGCGAAAGCGGCCUCCUGGCUCACUACUGACGCUCAGACGCGAAAGCUAGGGUAGCAAACGGGAUUAGAGACCCCGGUAGUCCUAGCCGUAAACGAUGCAAACUUGGCGUUGGUGGGUUCAAAUCCAUCAGUGCCGGAGCUAACGCGUUAAGUUUGCCACCUGGGGACUACGGCCGCAAGGUUAAA